UACGUAGGGAGCAAGCGUUGUCCGGAAUCAUUGGGCGUAAAGCGCGCGUAGGCGGCCCUGUAAGUCCGUUGUGAAAGUCAAAGGCUCAACCUUUGAAAGCCGAUGGAUACUGCAGGGCUAGGGUCCGGAAGAGGCGAGUGGAAUUCCUGGUGUAGCGGUGAAAUGCGCAGAUAUCAGGAAGAACACCCGUGGCGAAAGCGGCUCUCUGGGACGGUACUGACGCUGAGACGCGAAAGCGUGGGGAGCGAACAGG
Molecule: ribosomal RNA, 253 nt
Filed under: uncultured bacterium
Lineage: Bacteria
Description: partial 16S ribosomal RNA
Rfam family: Bacterial small subunit ribosomal RNA
Source: RNAcentral